This 253-nucleotide ribosomal RNA is filed under the name uncultured bacterium. RNAcentral describes it as "partial 16S ribosomal RNA". It matches the Rfam family "Bacterial small subunit ribosomal RNA", at positions 524 to 776 of the family's 1533-position model. The record is from RNAcentral.
UACGUAGGGUGCAAGCGUUGUCCGGAAUUAUUGGGCGUAAAGAGCUCGUAGGCGGUUUGUCGCGUCUGCUGUGAAAACUCGGGGCUUAACCCCGGGCCUGCAGUGGGUACGGGCAGACUAGAGUGCGGGAGAGGAGAGUGGAAUUCCUGGUGUAGCGGUGAAAUGCGUAGAUAUCAGGAGGAACACCGGUGGUGUAGACGGCUCUCUGGACCGUAACUGACGCUGAGGCACGAAAGCGUGGGUAGCAAACGGG